RNAcentral lists this ribosomal RNA (942 nucleotides) under uncultured Lentimicrobium sp. RNAcentral's name for it is "bacterial SSU rRNA". It matches the Rfam family "Bacterial small subunit ribosomal RNA", at positions 552 to 1506 of the family's 1533-position model. The record is from RNAcentral. Lineage: Bacteria; Pseudomonadati; Bacteroidota; Bacteroidia; Bacteroidales; Lentimicrobiaceae.
CAUUGGGUUUAAAGGGUGCGCAGGCGGAUUGGUAAGUCAGGGGUGAAAUCCCACAGCUCAACUGUGGAACUGCCUUUGAUACUGUCAGUCUAGAGUAUAGUUGAAGUUGGCGGAAUGUGUCAUGUAGCGGUGAAAUGCUUAGAUAUGACACAGAACACCGAUCGCGAAGGCAGCUAGCUAAGCUAUAACUGACGCUCAUGCACGAAAGCGUGGGGAUCAAACAGGAUUAGAUACCCUGGUAGUCCACGCUGUAAACGAUGAUUACUCGAUGUUGGCGAUACACAGUCAGCGUCUGAGCGAAAGCAAUAAGUAAUCCACCUGGGGAGUACGAUCGCAAGAUUGAAACUCAAAGGAAUUGACGGGGGCCCGCACAAGCGGAGGAGCAUGUGGUUUAAUUCGAUGAUACGCGAGGAACCUUACCUGGGCUCGAACGUAAGAUGACUGUAGGUGAAAGCUUACAUCUCUUCGGAGCAUUUUACGAGGUGCUGCAUGGUUGUCGUCAGCUCGUGCCGUGAGGUGUCGGGUUAAGUCCCAUAACGAGCGCAACCCCUACCUUUAGUUGCCAUCAGGUCAUGCUGGGGACUCUAAAGGAACUGCCUACGCAAGUAGUGAGGAAGGCGGGGAUGACGUCAAAUCAGCACGGCCCUUACGUCCAGGGCUACACACGUGCUACAAUGGCCGAUACAGAGGGCAGCUACCUGGUGACAGGAUGCAAAUCUCCAAAGUCGGUCUCAGUUCGGAUCGGAGUCUGCAACCCGACUCCGUGAAGUUGGAUUCGCUAGUAAUCGCGCAUCAGCCAUGGCGCGGUGAAUACGUUCCCGGGCCUUGUACACACCGCCCGUCAAGCCAUGGAAGCUGGGGGGACCUAAAGUCGAUAACCGCAAGGAGUCGCCUAGGGUAAAACCAGUGACUGGGGCUAAGUCGUAACAAGGUAGCCGAAUC